Molecule: ribosomal RNA, 253 nt
Filed under: uncultured bacterium
Lineage: Bacteria
Description: partial 16S ribosomal RNA
Rfam family: Bacterial small subunit ribosomal RNA
Source: RNAcentral
UACGGAGUGUGCAAGCGUUACUCGGAAUCACUGGGCAUAAAGAGCACGUAGGCGGGGAUGCAUGUCCGUGGUGAAAUCCCCCAGCUCAACUGGGGAACUGCUUCGGAAACUGUGUCUCUUGAGGACGAGGGGGGAGAGUGGAACUUCUGGUGGAGCGGUGAAAUGCGUAGAUAUCAGAAGGAACACCGGUGGCGAAAGCGACUCUCUGGCUCGUUUCUGACGCUGAGGUGCGAAAGCUUGGGUAGCAAACAGG